This is a non-coding RNA of Podarcis lilfordi (Lilford's wall lizard), 2645 nucleotides long. The record is from the annotation of a GenBank genome assembly. Lineage: Eukaryota; Metazoa; Chordata; Lepidosauria; Squamata; Lacertidae.
UACAUAUCUCCAUCCAGGCAAGUAAGAGACAUUCUCAUGGUUCAAGAAAACAUUCCAGCCAAACAGAAACAUGGGAGGAGGACAUGGAGCAGGAUCAGUUGAUUGUGUGACCUGGGGAGAGGAAAUGGCCAACUGAUUGAAUGUCCCUCUUUCCUGGUUGAUUGAGUGUCUGGGUUGAUUGAGUCUGAUAUUUUGGCAGUGCCAAUGCUGUACAAUAGGGAUGUGGAACCUAUAGUCCUCCAGAUGUUCCUGGACUACAACUCACAUCAUUUCUGAGUUUUGGCCAUGCUGGCUGGGGUCGAUGGGAGUUGGAGUCCAAAAGUAUCUGGAAGGAACCAGGUUCCUCAUCCCCCUUCUAAGAAGCAUCCCCCCCCUCUCUAGAGGGAAUUACCGUAUUUUUUGCUCUAUAAGACACACUUUCCCCCUCCUAAAAAGUAAGGGAAAAUGUGUGUGCGUCUUAUGGAGCGAAUGCAGGCUGCGCAGCUAUCACAGAAGCCAGAACAGCAAGAGGGAUUGCUGCUUUCACUGCGCAGCGAUCCCUCUUCCUGUUCUGGCUUCUGAGAUUCAGAAUAUUUUUUUUCUUGUUUUCCUCCUCCAAAAACUAGGUGCGUCUUGUGGUCUGGUGCGUCUUAUAGAGUGAAAAAUACGGUAAUAUUCUAGACAUUCCUUCAUCUCUGCCAUACAGUAGGGAGUUCUGCUUCUUAGAGCAGGGGUGAGGAGGCUGUGGCCUCCAGGUGUUGCUGGAUGGCUACUCCCAGAAUCCCUAAUCAUUGGGCGUGUUGUAUGCUGCUGUGAUGGGAGCUUGAGUUCAACACCAUCUGGAGGGACACAGGUUUCCCACUCCUGAUCUAAAGGGAAGAACUGGAACCCGGACUGCAUCACUAACUGCCUGGAACCAGAAAGCCUCCAUACCCACCUCUGUACAUAUCCCCAAUAACAUUGUACCCUUGUUUGGUUUUUAUUUGUAAGCCCCAAUGUGGGUCUAUCUUGACAGCAAAGUAAGGUGUAGAAAAAUGUGGUACAUCUAGAAUUCCAGAUGACAGUAGCUCCUGAAUCAUUGCUGAAUUUGGAAUGGGGAAACCUGGGUGACAUGAGGCAGGUCACUCUCUUCAGCCUAGCUUAAGUAAAAUAAGAACUCCAUGAACGUCUUGGAUACAGGAGUGGAAUAGAAAUGGAACCAAUUAUCACUAGCCCAAAGCAUUCAGAGACCUCUGUAUGCUCUGCUCCUUUGUUGAAAUCAGGCACAUUGCAGACAUAGUCCCCCCACUGCUUAGGGCUUUCCCCCUAUUUAUUUUGUGUAGUUCUCUGAACACUGGUAUCCUCCAAAAUCUGCUGAUGCUACAUUUUGGGGGCUGCCCAGUUGGUGCUCACCCAUUUAUUUAUUGCAUAAGAUUUUUAUACUGCUUGAUUAAAAAAGAACAACAGCCCUCAAAGCUGUUCACAAAAAAGAUGUGCAGUGCCAUUUCUACAAAAUCACUGGCACUCAAAACCUGAACAUUGGAAAUAGAAGGGAUGGCAGGGCCAGCCAAAGACAGUUUGGCACCUGAGUCAAACCACAAAAUGGUGCAAACACCCCUCACCAGUGAAGAAGAGGGGAGUGACGACGCACAUCAGAAACAUGGGGGGAAAUAAAUAAAUAAAGAUAAACAUGUGGGAACGGGGUGGGACGAGACCAGCAUUGCCUCCUAUUCACCAAGAGGUCACUGUAGAGGUGGUAUUGGGAGCAGGGGCUGCCAAGGAGGCAGCAGAUCUGGCCCUCAAGGAAUGGUGUUGCAGCUGACACUGGCACCAUGGCAGCAGCAGAAGCGGGCAAUUUGGCAUUCAUUGGAGGCUGGAUCUGCCACCCCUGUGGAUUCUACUGCUUAAGGUGGCCACCUCACCUUGUCUCAUGGGUGGGCUGGCCCUGAGGGAUAGGGAUGGUGAUGUGUAGUAUUAGUAUGAGCAACUGAGUUCAUUAUGUUGUUGUUUAGUCGUUUAGUCAUGUCUGACUCUUCGUGACCCCAUGGACCAGAGCACGCCAGGCACUUCUGUCCUCCACUGCCUCCCGCAGGGCACCAAGAGUUCAUUAUACUGGCCUUAAUGAAUCAAGAGUGGGGAAGCUUUUUCAUUUCAAGGGCCACAUUCACUUCUGAGCAACCUUCUAGGGGGCCACAUACCGUGGGGGGCAUGGCCAGGGGCAAAAGUAUAUGGGACAAUGAAUACUUAUUUUGCCUUUGUAGAAUAGACUAGUGCUACACACACCUCUCUAUCAUUCCUGCAGGCAAGCAAGAGUUGUCAUCAGAGUUCAAAGGUGUAUUCUAGCCAGGAAAAAACACUUGUGAAGCCAGGCAAAAAUAUGUGAAGUAUGGCUGAAGAAGGGUGUGGUCUGGGGAGAAUGCCUGAAUGCCAGGUAAAAGGGCCUGGAGGGCCACGUUUGGGUGAGGUUCCUCACUCUUGCUAUAAAUUAAUGGGUGGCUUAAUCUUUAGUUUUGUAGCUAGGUGGGGUAAUUUGGGAAUUAAGGAACAAUAGAUCAACACUUUACUUUCUAUUUUGUUCUAGGUACUGUUAUGUGGCAUUUUGGGCUCCAGAGUUUGAGCGAGAUCAUUCUGAGCUACUGAAGCACACUGUGAAUCAGCUUGUUAGGUGACAAAUGGCUGCCCCAGGG